Molecule: ribosomal RNA, 497 nt
Filed under: uncultured bacterium
Lineage: Bacteria
Description: partial 16S ribosomal RNA
Rfam family: Bacterial small subunit ribosomal RNA
Source: RNAcentral
GAUGAACGCUGGCGGCGUGCCUAAUACAUGCAAGUCGAGCGAACAGACGAGGAGCUUGCUCCUCUGACGUUAGCGGCGGACGGGUGAGUAACACGUGGAUAACCUACCUAUAAGACUGGGAUAACUUCGGGAAACCGGAGCUAAUACCGGAUAAUAUAUUGAACCGCAUGGUUCAAUAGUGAAAGACGGUUUUGCUGUCACUUAUAGAUGGAUCCGCGCCGCAUUAGCUAGUUGGUAAGGUAACGGCUUACCAAGGCAACGAUGCGUAGCCGACCUGAGAGGGUGAUCGGCCACACUGGAACUGAGACACGGUCCAGACUCCUACGGGAGGCAGCAGUAGGGAAUCUUCCGCAAAGGGCGAAAGCCUGGCGGAGCAACGCCGCGUGAGUGAUGAAGGUCUUCGGAUCGUAAAACUCUGUUAUUAGGGAAGAACAAAUGUGUAAGUAACUAUGCACGUCUUGACGGUACCUAAUCAGAAAGCCACGGCUAACCACGUG